This is a long non-coding RNA of Gallus gallus (chicken), 891 nucleotides long. RefSeq lists it as uncharacterized. The transcript has 2 exons. The record is from RefSeq and is a predicted model, not a curated record. NCBI's taxonomy places the organism in Eukaryota, Metazoa, Chordata, Aves, Galliformes, Phasianidae.
AAGACUCCUGUAGAUAAUCUGGAGGAGAAACAGUUAUGAUAAACCAUUAACUUAAGAUGAAGGUCCCUGUGAAUUUAUCUUGUUCUGAAAGCAGUGUCUUCUGCAAUGUUCUGCUGGGUCUCCGAAUGAGGGUGUCAUCCAGUGACAGAGCUGUCAUUGAACACCAAAUGAAUCUUACACUUUAUCUUGCUCCCAGAAUUAGUCCUGGACAUAUGGCUGUGAAUGCUUCUGGAAAGGAGGACUGAAUAACUGCAGAGAGGGAACCCUAAAAUAAGCUACCCUUGUUUCUUAAAAGCAAAUGUACCAAAUCCUGCUGUUUGAUUUAUGAUUUUGACUUAGAGCCAGUUCAAAGUUCUAUCAGCAAGCAGAUUGACAAAGCUGACUGUAUUAGCACAACUGCCGAACUAUAUUACUUUGCACAGUCAUGGGAUUUUUUUUUUUUUUUAAUAGCAUAUCUCACAUAUUUGUUAUUAAAACUAAUACAUAGUCUGCUAAUUAAUAAUGAUUAUAAAGAAUGGGUGGAUUAAUUCUGCUGAGAAAUACAUAGUAUUAAUAUUUGUGAGUGCGAGUAUGUAUGCACCUAUCUUUGUGUGUAUAUUUAUAUGUAGAUACAUACAUGUUUUACAUUUACGUACACAGUAACUGUGUAUAUUGAUCCUGCAUUUGUGAAUUGAAUAUUGGCUGGAAUGUUUUAUACCUCAGUGUACUGUUCUGCUCUUUUAAAGUACAAAUGGAGGGUGAUUAUAUAGAUAUUACCUACAUAUUAUGCUAGUAGCUCUAUCUACUAGCUACUGUAUGCGUACAUUUUCUGUAUGUCUAUAGUAUAUAUAGCAAAAUCUGUGAUCUAAUAAUGAUGAUUAGGAUGAAAAAAUAAAUGGAAAAGAGAUGCUU